This 1075-nucleotide ribosomal RNA is filed under the name Salmonella enterica. RNAcentral describes it as "partial 23S ribosomal RNA". It matches the Rfam family "Bacterial large subunit ribosomal RNA", at positions 566 to 1556 of the family's 2925-position model. Lineage: Bacteria; Pseudomonadati; Pseudomonadota; Gammaproteobacteria; Enterobacterales; Enterobacteriaceae. The record is from RNAcentral.
CCACCACCAAAGCAUUCUCUGGUGUUGAAGGCCCUGCAAAGCAGCAUCGCGGUGGCGGAGCGUCGUUUGCGACGCCCAACGCACAAAACAAGCGGUGAGUGCUUUGGGGUGGGGUGACUGCGUACCUUUUGUAUAAUGGGUCAGCGACUUAUAUUCUGUAGCAAGGUUAACCGCAUAGGGGAGCCGUAGGGAAACCGAGUCUUAACCGGGCGUUAAGUUGCAGGGUAUAGACCCGAAACCCGGUGAUCUAGCCAUGGGCAGGUUGAAGGUUGGGUAACACUAACUGGAGGACCGAACCGACUAAUGUUGAAAAAUUAGCGGAUGACCUGUGGCUGGGGGUGAAAGGCCAAUCAAACCGGGAGAUAGCUGGUUCUCCCCGAAAGCUAUUUAGGUAGCGCCUCGUGAAUUCAUCUCCGGGGGUAGAGCACUGUUUCGGCUAGGGGGCCAUCCCGGCUUACCAACCCGAUGCAAACUGCGAAUACCGGAGAAUGUUAUCACGGGAGACACACGGCGGGUGCUAACGUCCGUCGUGAAGAGGGAAACAACCCAGACCGCCAGCUAAGGUCCCAAAGUCAUGGUUAAGUGGGAAACGAUGUGGGAAGGCCCAGACAGCCAGGAUGUUGGCUUAGAAGCAGCCAUCAUUUAAAGAAAGCGUAAUAGCUCACUGGUCGAGUCGGCCUGCGCGGAAGAUGUAACGGGGCUAAACCAUGCACCGAAGCUGCGGCAGCGACGUUUAUGCGUUGUUGGGUAGGGGAGCGUUCUGUAAGCCUGCGAAGGUGGCCUGUGAGGGUUGCUGGAGGUAUCAGAAGUGCGAAUGCUGACAUAAGUAACGAUAAAGCGGGUGAAAAGCCCGCUCGCCGGAAGACCAAGGGUUCCUGUCCAACGUUAAUCGGGGCAGGGUGAGUCGACCCCUAAGGCGAGGCCGAAAGGCGUAGUCGAUGGGAAACGGGUUAAUAUUCCCGUACUUGGUGUUACUGCGAAGGGGGGACGGAGAAGGCUAUGUUGGCCGGGCGACGGUUGUCCCGGUUUAAGCGUGUAGGUGUGUGUUCCAGGUAAAUCCGGUUCACUUUAACAC